RNAcentral lists this ribosomal RNA (459 nucleotides) under uncultured bacterium. Its description in RNAcentral is "partial 16S ribosomal RNA". It matches the Rfam family "Bacterial small subunit ribosomal RNA", at positions 338 to 795 of the family's 1533-position model. The record is from RNAcentral.
CCUACGGGAGGCAGCAGUGAGGAAUAUUGGUCAAUGGCCGGGAGGCUGAACCAGCCAAGUCGCGUGAGGGAAGACGGCCCUACGGGUUGUAAACCUCUUUUGUCAGGGAGCAAGGUGCAGGUCGGGACCUGCUGUGAGAGUACCUGAAGAAAAAGCAUCGGCUAACUCCGUGCCAGCAGCCGCGGUAAUACGGAGGAUGCGAGCGUUAUCCGGAUUUAUUGGGUUUAAAGGGGGCGCAGGCGGACGCACAAGUCAGCGGUAAAAUCGCGGGGCUCAACCCCGCUCCGCCGUUGAAACUGUGUGCCUUGAGUGCGCGGAGGGUAGGCGGAAUGCGUGGUGUAGCGGUGAAAUGCAUAGAUAUCACGCAGAACUCCGAUCGCGAAGGCAGCCUACCGGCGCGCAACUGACGCUCAUGCACGAAAGCGUGGGUAUCGAACAGGAUUAGAUACCCCUGUAGUC